GACGAACGCUGGCGGCGUGCUUAACGCAUGCAAGUCGAACGGAAAGGCCCUGCUUUUGUGGGGUGCUCGAGUGGCGAACGGGUGAGUAACACGUGAGUAACCUGCCCUUGACUUUGGGAUAACUUCAGGAAACUGGGGCUAAUACCGGAUAGGAGCUCCUGCUGCAUGGUGGGGGGUGGAAAGUUUCGGCGGUUGGGGAUGGACUCGCGGCUGAUCAGCUUGUUGGUGGGGUAGUGGCUUACCAAGGCUUUGACGGGUAGCCGGCCUGAGAGGGUGACCGGCCACAUUGGGACUGAGAUACGGCCCAGACUCCUACGGGAGGCAGCAGUGGGGAAUAUUGCACAAUGGGCGGAAGCCUGAUGCAGCAACGCCGCGUGCGGGAUGACGGCCUUCGGGUUGUAAACCGCUUUCGCCUGUGACGAAGCGUGAGUGACGGUAAUGGGUAAAGAAGCACCGGCUAACUACGUG
RNAcentral lists this ribosomal RNA (468 nucleotides) under uncultured bacterium. RNAcentral's name for it is "partial 16S ribosomal RNA". It matches the Rfam family "Bacterial small subunit ribosomal RNA", at positions 28 to 507 of the family's 1533-position model. The record is from RNAcentral.